AGAAAACUAAAUGAGCAAAAUGUUAUUUAAAAAGUUCUUUAGCUAAUUUUAUGGGAUUUAAAGGUAUAAAGAAAGUUUCUCAUGAAAAGAAUUCGAGGCAGAGCUUGAGACGGGAUCUUCCGGAAAUAACUUUUCUAUUUUCACGAGGUAAAGAUAUGUUUGUGUACAUAUUAUUCUCCCCAGACCCUAUUUAUAGGAAUACAUUGAAUAUGUUGUUAUUAGCUCGACCAGUUUGCAAGCUUUUAACCCAUAUUUGUUUACCACAGUUAUUAGUACAAAACCACUACUACAUUUUAGAUUAAAUUCACACAGACACUAUCGUGUAUUUUAACCUGUUACACCAUAUGGUGUACUUUUUUUUCUAGAUCAAAUAAAAUUUUUGUCUAGUCAUUUACCUAAGGUAAUUUUAACUUAAACUGUGUAAAACCUUUUAUUCGUAAUAGCAUCCAAUUAAUGCUUAUGGAUUCUGCACCCUUACAGUUGAUUGUUUUCGUCUAUCAAAAGUCAAAACACAAAAACCUAAAAGAAGAUUUGUUUUUCUUUUUGGGUUAAUAAAGACGAUUCGAAUUUAUCCAAAAAGAAAUCAGUAGUUAAAUAUACUUCAUAUAUAUAAUAUAAGCUAAAGAGAAGAACAAGAAACAAAGAUUGAAGACAUUUCCUUUACGUUGCUCCAAAACUUGGGGUUUCUUAAUUAUCCUCAAAUUAAUAAGCCGUAUACAACAUUUUCAUCCAUCAAGUUUAAAAGAAAUAAUAUGAUCAUAAAAUGAUACAUGUAUACGUUUCCUUUUUUCUUUUUCUCCCACUAGAUCUUUAUAUUAGUGGGAAGCAGCAGCCAUUAAAGUUUGACAGUGAUGAUCAGCUUUUGGUGUAGCAACAAGAUAUAUGAUCAUAAAAUGAUACAUACGUUUCCUGUUUUCUUUACUUAAUUUUUUUCCCCACUAGAUCUUUAUAUUAGUGAGAAGCAGCAGCCAUUAAAGUUUGACAGUGAUGAUGAUCAGCUUUUGGUGUAGCAACAAACCUUGAAGAAAAAGCACAAAUUUUGUCAUAAUCUUCAUCCAAUAAACUUCCGGUUCCACUUGUAUCAAAGUUCAAUGCAUAACUAAGUGGAUCAUACCGACAUUGGAACGAUGAUUGUCGACUAGUAUACAUAGUGCUACUCACCGCUGUUUUCAACAUUUUAUUGCUACGUCUCUUCAACUUCCUCAUUAAUCUUGAUAAACCACAACAUGAGCUCAAUGUAGCAGCAUUACUUUCUGAUGAUGUUGCACUACAACUUCUGGUGGUGCGACCACCGCCGUAGAGGGUGUCUACCGCUGUGGCUCCGGUGGUUGUAGAGCUGAUGGUUUUCGGCCACCAUUGACGUCCCAUUUGUGUCAUUUUCUUGCCUUUCUAAUUUAUGCAAUAAUGAAGAAGUUUUUAGCUAGGAUAAAUGAACAGAAUGAAAAAAAUGGAUAGGUGAGACAAGUUUUGGUUAGAGAAAUGGGUAAAUGGGAGGGGGUGGUGAGACGAGUGAAGGGAAAUGGCGAACUAGGUUUUGAAUUUAUAAAGGUGGUGACUGGUAAAGAUGGGGUUCGUUGGAGAUUGAAUUUGAUGGUCUCAAUGAUAUAUUUUACGUUAUUUUACUGAUAGUACUGUGCUUCAUUAAUAUAAUACAAAACCAGGCCACCUAAAUUUGUAUGAUUUGUAAAGUCAAUACAUGAGCUUAUUUUUUUUGUUUGAACACUUUAACUUAACGAAAUGAAUAUUAAUAAACAUACCAUUAACCAAGCCCAUGUGAAAGUGACACCGCUGACAUAACUAAAUAAUGUGCAAAUGACAAGGCGUGAAUAGUUUUAUUUUUAUUAAAAAAAUACUAGAAAUAGAAUAAAAUAUAAAUAAGAAAAAAAAAAAGAAAAAAAAGGCCUUUCUCUUCCCUUCUUUUCCCCUCCCCUCCCACCUCUCUCAUCUUCCCAAGUGAACUCCCACAUCAUAUAAAUAUUUCUCAUUUUCUAUCAUUCAUCUAAAGUAUUGUACAAGGGCUAAAAACAUUGCAUAUUUGAUCAAUCAUUCAUGCGAAGUAUGCAAAAUUCUCCUUUACCUAUUUUCCUAUUCUUUUAAUGGUUUUAUUCUCUUAGGGGUAAAUGUUUCUUUCCACAUUUUAGCGGGACCCAUAUUGAUUGGUGAAACUCCGGCAUCUAUUGCUAUCAGAGAAACUACCUCUUCGGUUACAGCAAUAACCCGAGUAGUCAUUUCUUGACUAGAACUCAUAGUGGAUGUCGAAAUUUUCGCUUUUGCAAGUGAAAUUUCAUCUUCAAAUUCAACAAGAAGAGCAAUGGUGGAGCCCACAGGAACGGGCCGACCUUCAAAAACAAUAAUAGUAGCUAAAUAACCAUCGUAAAAAGAUUCAAUAUCUAUGACAAAUUUAUCUUAUUCAACAAUAAGAACUGCUUCACCUUUUGGCAAGUUUAUCACUUUUGGUUUUGACCCAACUCCCGAUCUUGCCUUCACUCAUAGUAGAAUUGAGUACAUGCAUAAAAACUUUACGGAUCUUGGAUUCUACUACAUCGGUUCUGUGUAAAUGGGUGGGGNNNNNNNNNNNNNNNNNNNNNNNNNNNNNNNNNNNNNNNNNNNNNNNNNNNNNNNNNNNNNNNNNNNNNNNNNNNNNNNNNNNNNNNNNNNNNNNNNNNNNNNNNNNNNNNNNNNNNNNNNNNNNNNNNNNNNNNNNNNNNNNNNNNNNNNNNNNNNNNNNNNNNNNNNNNNNNNNNNNNNNNNNNNNNNNNNNNNNNNNNNNNNNNNNNNNNNNNNNNNAAUGGAAGCACGACGGAGGGUGAUUUGGGUGGUGGGGAUGAAAGUGGAAAAAAAAAGAAAAAGAAAAAGAAAUUCAAAAUUUUAAAGAUUGAAAUUUUUUUAAUAGUAUAGGACCCACAAAUUCUAAAAACCAAAUAUAUGAUGGAAUCCAUGCAUUGGAGAAUACGUUCAACAUAAACUAGAAUGCAACAUCUAUUGAACUAUUGCAUUUAUCGUAUUAAAUUGGUUUGAGAAAAUUUGCAUAGAGGCGAGCAAACAUCGAUAUGAAAUAAGAGAAGUUUAUCGUUGACUUGUGGAGUAUACGUAAUUUAAGACGUUUUUCUUGGCCACCCUUGGCAAUAUAAUUUUUUCCCAGUAUGCAUCCUAAUGAUUAUUUUCUUGUAACUUGAGGUAUUAGUUACAACUAACAGAAGUUAAGGGCAUAUAUGCCCCUUAACGUAAUUAUAUAACAACAGAAUGCCAUCAAUUUAAACAAAUUUUUCUGAGUUUGAUUUGAAAUUCUGCUGCUCAAGAUUGCUUAUUAAAAGAUAAAGAUGUUUAGGGUAGUUAAGUUAGAGGGAGAAAAGUUCAUGCAUCUAAACCAUUUAGUUGGUAGUGAGAAUCCUAAUGAUUAAGGAAUAACUUUUUGCCAAGAAGAAAAGGUAGUUAAAACCAAUUUAAUAUAAGUGAUCACAAAAGAACAGCAGUCGUUUAACGUUUUUCACAAAAAAAUAAUGUGAACUUAGGUAACAAAACCAUAUGGGUGUGAUCUGAAAUUCUGAAUCAUCUGAUUAGAUCAGAUCAGUUGGUAUCCACUCACUUCCAUACUGGUAACAUCAAAAUCAAAAAGCUGCCGUGUAAAACUUUUUUUAUUGCAUUCACAUGUGAUUGCUCUUUACAAUUUUUCCUGAAUAGGUAGGCAAUUAAUAUCAAAAAAUAUUCAAUGAAGCUUUCUUUUAUUUUUAUCACCGCCUCACCAAAAUUAGCUAACAUUUUUUCCAACUGAUCAAGAACUCCCUUUAUUGGCUCUUUCCUCUUUGGUAAAAUAUCUUUUAACCGCAAACGUCUCCUUUUGAUCUUUAAUUUCUCUUGUUCUUAGAGUUUCCUUUAUUAAGAUUUAAUUAGUUGAUAGGCCGUUGGACUUAGUUUUUAUUAGUUCUUUAUAAUAGAGUUAUUCUUGCCCCUUAAUUAUCACUAUUAAUACUACAACAAAAGAUAAUCAAAGAUAAUAAAGAAUAAUAAAGGAUAAUAAAGCCAUAAGGGCUAAUAAAGAUGGGAGGAAUCUUGGGUUUUUUUUGUAAUAUUUAUGUAACGAUCAUAUAUUGAAUUAUUUUUUAUUUGGUUCACAUGUUUCUAUCAUGUAUGUACUGUUAGUAUACUGCAUUUGUAAAAUAAUUCUGGAAAAAAUAAAAUAACAUAUAAACAGAAAUAUAAACGAAACAGAAGUUAAUCCGUGUAUAUUGAAUUUAUAAUGUUUUCUUAAAGAAUUUAACUCUCUCCUAAUAACCAUGGUUGUGGAUUAUCUCCUCACAGGAUAGAACGAAUUACGCACUAGUAUAAUGUUACUUCAAACUCCAGUGUUUCAGCGAACAUAAAGCUCAGUAGCAAAUUACACUUACUGUUGCUUUCCUUGAAGUUAAAACAAUGCAUAAGAAAGGAGGAGACCUCAGAAAAUCGUAUGAAAAAUAUGAGAGAAUGGACUGGUAUCAAUGUUGAGCUCAAAACUGAAGAGGUGCAACUCUUCAUAAUAGUUGUUUAUGUAAAACGGCCAUAACAAAAUGCCAUAACAUAAAUAGCUAUUUACGCAACAAUAAAUCGGGGAUUGAAGAGGGAGGUUAAUUUUCAGUUACAAAAUCAAAAACUCAAAACGGAUAACGGGAAAAAAUAUUCAAUAUUUUCGUUGGAUUUAAUAUUUAAUAUUUCGUUGGAUUUCUAAUAAUAUUUGCUAUUAACUGUUGGAUAUUGAGUUUGGGUUGCUGGUGUAGACAUGCGAGUUUUGACCCUCCCCAAAAUUUUUUAUAUUUUAGCAUAUAAAAAUUUAAUUUAGGCCUAAUAUAUCUAUUUCAACUCAUUUUGACUCUUUUACUUUAUUUUAUUAUAAGAAAAAUAAAAAUUACAAAAUAUAUUUUAGUUUAUGCAUUUUUCAUAAUUUUUUUUAAAAAUACAAAAAAUAGUAACUUAUUUUUAUCUUUAUAUAAUUUUGAAAAUACAAAAAUAGUUUCAUGUUUAGUUUAAUUAAUUAGGAUUAGCUUUGAUAUUGUGUAGUAUUUCUAUCUUAUUUUAAAAGGCAUUGUAUAGUUUAAGGACCCUUCUAGACUCUUCUUUGAAACAAAAAGAUAAUAUAAAAGAUUUUAAAGACUUAACACAAAAAGACUAGGAUUAAUUUGCAAAGCACACACUUAGACCUACAACUAUAUAAUAGGAGAUACACUACACAAUCAAGGGACCAAAAAAUUAUCGUCACCAACAUUUUAAUAGCUCUUUCUUUGAAGUAAACAACAAUAAGAAGUGACUUCCACCGUUCACGUGUACGUGUGCAUAGAGAAAAGAAGGCAGAACUACUAAAAGAAUUCCACCCUUAAAUGAGACAGCCGUAAUUCCUAACCAUAAGAAAGGAAGCAGCUUCAAUCGAAUUCCAAAAAGUCGAAACAACUUCAAUUUUGUUGUUUUGGGUUCUGCUCCUUCCGUUCCAAUUUCAAUUUUGGUUUCAGAAAUAGAGCUUGCUUGAGCUCGUUUUGGGUUUGAGCCUUUCUGACGCCGAUUCAAAUUUUUAGUUCUGGUCCGAGUUCUAGAUUCUGGUUUAAGGUCGAUUUUGGAUCUAGGAUCUGUCAGGAGUAGUCAUUUGUGUGAAUUUUGCUGGAAGUUUUGUUUAAUGGAAAAUCGUGCUUUCAGUUAAGGUCCAUUCUCAGUUUAUCUUUACUAUGGAUUAGUUGAAAAUUAUAUUUGUCUGCCUAUGCUAAAAUCAUUUAAUUGCCUUAUUUUAGUUAGAGAUCAUGAAUGCCUGCUGGAAUUGUUGAACUACAUGAAGUCAUGAAAUAUAAUGUGCCCAUUAGUGCUAGUUUAUAUAUAUAUAUAUAUAUAUAAUUUGUUUCAUGUGCUUUCAAUGCCAAAUUUGUGGUUGGAAUGAUUUAGUUGCUUCAAAUUGAGUAGGUGUGCGGGAAAGAUUACGUAAAUUUAUGGGAGGACCAUUUUGAAUACCUACUGUUUAAUACAAAUGUUUUGAGACGGAAAUAGUAAUUAUUAUUAUUAUUUUUGAUAGUGUAUUUGUCUACUUUUUUCUUGUAUAUAUUUUUCAUUUUUUUUUUUGGUAAACAUUCUAUUCAUUAAUAUCAAAAAAAUAUUUACAAGUUGACUCUUUAGUAAGAGUUUAGACUACUCCUAUUCAUUUACACCAAUCUUCUAUACUAAAUUCUAACUUUCUCUAGGUGCAUCAUAGUAUAGGACAACUAGUAAACUAGAACAACCAAGAAACUAAGGAAACUUGUUAAUUUUGUCCAAGCCAACUUGCCAACGCCUGCAAUUCCUACCUCGGAUAUAGAUUGACAGGGCUAUUUCUCUGCACAGUUCAGAUUCUUCAUAUUUUUUCCAAUUAAAUCUGAUGUUAUUUCUUUCCCGCCAGAUAAGAGCAACAGUGUUAAUGAAGGCACAAGCUGUUAUACUAUUAAGUGCCACUCUACUAUUUGCCUUGCUACACACCCACUGCAAUUCUGUUUCCCAGUCCAGGAACUAGGAUACCAAAUUUCUGUAGUCUGUCUACUGUAGGCAGCCUCUUUUGAGCAGCUAGCCAGACAGUAAACCUGUGUCUAGGUUGAGCAUGCGCAAGCAAUAUCAGAUUCUUCCAAGCAACUUUACUGUAAGUAGGAACCAAUGCCAGGUAUAACUUCUGGAUAUGAAACUGUUCCAGCCUGCAGAAACCUUGCAAUCUACUGAACAGACUGCCUAGUAUCAGUUGAGCCCCCAUUAUGUCAUUCCUUCUGUCCAUUAUCUUCCUUACAACCCAAGAAGCUGCCUUAGGUAUGGACAUUGUUUCAAUGUCCAUCUGCUUGAUGAUAUAACUUCUGAAUAUGGAACUGUUCCAGCCUGCAGAAGCCUUGCAAUCUACUGAACAGGAUGCCUUGUAUCAGUUGAGCACCCAUUAUGUCAUCCCUUAUGUCCAGUAUCUUCCUUACAACCCAAGAAGUUGCCUUAGGUAUGGACAUUGUUUCAAUGUCCAUCUGCUUGAUAUAGUAGCUGUGCACCCAUCUAAUCCACAAGCAAUCCUUCUUCUUAGCCAAAUUCCAGAGAUGCUUGCUAAUUGCUGCCUUAUUCCAUACUGUCAUAUCUAUAAUAUUCAGUCCACCAGCAGAGAUAGGCCUACAUACACUGUCCCAAGCCAUUAGGGCCUUUCUAAACAGCUUUACACUCCCAGUCCAAAGAAAGGUUCUGCAUAUAUUUUCAAUGGUUUUCAAUACUUUCUUAGGCAGGAUGAACACUUGAGCCCAGUAGGUUUGAAUGUAGUCCAAACUCCAAAGAAAGGUUCUGCAUAUAUUUUCAAUGGUUUUCAAUACUUUCUUAGGCAGGAUGAACACUUGAGCCCAAUAGGUUUGAAUGCCAAAUAUGAUAGAUUUUAUCAGUUGACAUCUUCCAGCAUAGGAAAGCAGUUUGGCAGACCAGCAUGUUACUUUAGCUGUAAUCUUCUCAAUUACUGGUAAGUAGUGGCCAACAGACAGUUUGGAAAUUUUCAUGUUUUAACUUCUUUUAUUUCAUCUAUAGUAGUUUUAACAAAUUCCUGAAAUAGAAUUGUAAGAACUUCUUAAGUUGUAAAUAAUUCACAGUAGUUUGUUAAUAAUUUAAAGGGCUAAUGAUCCCCCACAACUUCAUCUCCAUAAUUCAAGGCCUCACAACAUCCUAAAUAGCUUAAGAAUAAUGGAUGAAUAUCGUAGAUUGCUUUAGGCGCUCUAUUUUUAAAAAUUACCUUUCUAAAUUCGGAUGUGCAUUUAUGUGACCCAAAUUUAAAUUUCAACAACAUUAGAAAAAAAUGUAUCUUGGACCGCGGAUGCAUUUAUAUGACGUUGUUCAAGACAUGUUUUAGAUGACGUGAAUCUUUCUCCAAAAAAUAAUUUCUUAAAGCGGUUAAAAAGUUAAAAUUAAACCAUAGGUUAAAACACGUGUUAAAAUCAGAUAAUAUGCCAAUAAUAAUAGUUGAACAACCCUGCUAGAACCAUGGAACUCGGGAAUGCCCAACACCUUCUUCCUGAUUAAUAGAAUUUCUUACCCGAAUUUCUGUGUUCGCGGAUUGUAAAACAGAGACAAUCUUUCCUCGAUUUGGGAUUUAAACCGGUGACUUGAGACACCAUAAAUUAUCCCAAGUGGUGACUUUUAUUCUUAAAUAAAUAAUAUCGUUUCGAUUAUCACUUUAAUUGGAAAAACUCCAUUUUUAUGCCCUUCCGGGGGUAUGGUAAAAAAUGAGGUAUGACAGUGGGUAGCCCAUAUGAUCUGACCUGACCUGUUUUUAAAGGAGAUAUAAUUAAGGGAAGCUAUAAGGGGAAGAAGAUUUAACUCCUAAAAUAAAAUUACCGCAUGUUGAGAAGUAAGGGAGAGCGUGAGGAUCAACGUGGGUUAGUUUUACAGUAGUUUUUAUUUUCUCUAAAAACUUUCCCUCUCUAUAAAUUGAUGCUCCCCUUCUUCAAAGAAAGAUACUCUACGAUAAAAUCCCUACAAAGAUAGAAAUACAGUAAAAGAAAGAAAAAUGUAUUUAGUUCGGGAACAAAAAUUUUAUUUUCAAGAGAGACAAAAUCGAAUUCAGACAAUUUAUUAGAACAGAUUGCAAUAAUCAUUCGUUGUUGUUAAAAGGUAUAAAUUCUUUGUCCCUGUUACUUGUAUUUUACUAUCAAUGGUAUCGGAGCCAGGUUGUUUCUCGUUUCUUUAAACAUGGAACAAUAGAAAACUCUAUUGAAAAAGUUCACCUCCAAUCAUCGUUUGUUGUUGUUUGUUCCAAAGCAAUUUUUUCUAAAAAAAAAUGUAUGACGAAGUGGUUAUAAAUCAUAAACUCUGCACGAGAAUGUCCUGAAAUGAGAGUCGAACAGUGAUCUCCCGAAUGGAAAUCUAUUGAACCGUUCAUUCUGUUGAGUAAUUAGAUACGGCUAGCUAGCUUUUAGUGCUUCUUUGUUGCCUUUCUACUGGCGCCAUAACUUCGAGGAAAUAAACACUCCAAAAUUAAAUUAUGGGGAGGAGUAGAUAACCAAAAGUGUUACCAAAUUCAACCAACUCCAAUGUUGAUAUUGCAUUCAAGUUUACAGUUCAAAGGCAUUAUUAUCCUGAUACUACUAAAAGAAAUUAAUGGUUAGCGGUAGGUAUUAUUUGAAAGCUAAUUCUAUCAAAAUCUCAUAUCAAAAUUGGUUAAGAAAAUUGAAAAGGGAGUACUAAAAUAACGUUAAUUUUUCUACCAUCUAGUACUGUUUUUAAUAGCAAUUCAAUUAUUGAUCUUCAUGUUAACAGUAUUAAGCCAAAUCAAAUCAAAUAUAAGAAAUAUCAAACCAUUGAAUUACCUAGUUGACGUAUCUGCUGUGUGGGAUUUUUCUGAUUUUGAAUUGGCAUGUGAAAUUUGUGUUUCUUGUUCAUAAACAUUCUGUUCUCAUAAUAUGCUUUCACUUGUUGAAACUGGAAAAGUGUUUUUUUCCUACUUAAUAUAGAAAAUUAGUUUAGCCCUUAUUCCUUAUAUUGAAAUAUUUCUACGGUUAACAUGACAUAUAAUGUCACAUUGAGUGGUUAUAGCUAUUCUUAUUGUUUUCUUGGUCUAAUUUCAGAUAUGGCUGAACAGGGAAAAUUCGAAUUACUCCAAGUGGGAGUUCUCGAAAUCAAGGAAGGGGACAACGUAGAAGGAUACGUCGCUGCAGGACUUAUUUCUAUAAUGAUUCAGACUCGGAACCUGAAGUCAUCGGGAAUGUCCCAACGGCGAGGCAGAAUGAGUUAAGGGAUCAAAGGGCUCAACGAAGGGAAAGAGAAUAGAAAUUUAGGGGCUUAAAGAAUUUAAAACGGGCCUUGAUAUUUUCGUUCCUAAACUUGUACACCUUUUUA
This 9822-nucleotide long non-coding RNA is filed under the name Nicotiana benthamiana. RNAcentral's name for it is "long non-coding RNA (NBEN_LNC022663)". The record is from RNAcentral. Lineage: Eukaryota; Viridiplantae; Streptophyta; Magnoliopsida; Solanales; Solanaceae.